This 483-nucleotide ribosomal RNA is filed under the name uncultured bacterium. RNAcentral's name for it is "partial 16S ribosomal RNA". It matches the Rfam family "Bacterial small subunit ribosomal RNA", at positions 30 to 507 of the family's 1533-position model. The record is from RNAcentral.
AUUGAACGCUGGCGGCAGGCCUAACACAUGCAAGUCGAGCGGAUGAAGGGAGCUUGCUCCUGGAUUCAGCGGCGGACGGGUGAGUAAUGCCUAGGAAUCUGCCUGGUAGUGGGGGGUAACGUCCGGAAACGGGCGCUAAUACCGCAUACGUCCUGAGGGAGAAAGUGGGGAUCUUCGGACCUCACGCUAUCAGAUGAGCCUAGGUCGGAUUAGCUAGUUGGUGGGGUAAAGGCCUACCAAGGCGACGAUCCGUAACUGGUCUGAGAGGAUGAUCAGUCACACUGGAACUGAGACACGGUCCAGACUCCUACGGGAGGCAGCAGUGGGGAAUAUUGGACAAUGGGCGAAAGCCUGAUCCAGCCAUGCCGCGUGUGUGAAGAAGGUCUUCGGAUUGUAAAGCACUUUAAGUUGGGAGGAAGGGCAGUAAGUUAAUACCUUGCUGUUUUGACGUUACCAACAGAAUAAGCACCGGCUAACUUCGUG